CCUACGGGUGGCUGCAGUGGGGAAUAUUGGACAAUGGGGGCAACCCUGAUCCAGCCAUGCCGCGUGUGUGAAGAAGGCCCUCGGGUUGUAAAGCACUUUCAGUGAGGAAGAACGCCUUGUGGUUAAUACCCAUCAGGAAAGACAUCACUCACAGAAGAAGCACCGGCUAACUCCGUGCCAGCAGCCGCGGUAAUACGGAGGGUGCGAGCGUUAAUCGGAAUUACUGGGCGUAAAGCGCGCGUAGGUGGCUUGAUAAGCCGGUUGUGAAAGCCCCGGGCUCAACCUGGGAACGGCAUCCGGAACUGUCAAGCUAGAGUGCAGGAGAGGAAGGUAGAAUUCCCGGUGUAGCGGUGAAAUGCGUAGAGAUCGGGAGGAAUACCAGUGGCGAAGGCGGCCUUCUGGACUGACACUGACACUGAGGUGCGAAAGCGUGGGUAGCAAACAGGAUUAGAUACCCUAGUAGUC
Molecule: ribosomal RNA, 465 nt
Filed under: Vreelandella stevensii
Lineage: Bacteria; Pseudomonadati; Pseudomonadota; Gammaproteobacteria; Oceanospirillales; Halomonadaceae
Description: partial 16S ribosomal RNA
Rfam family: Bacterial small subunit ribosomal RNA
Source: RNAcentral